UGUCACGUACGCGUGUCUCUCCCACGACCCAACUCUAACCAUCUCUGACCAAUAACUCUCUAAAAGGGAUAAAACUCUCGCGUAUAUCUCUCCGGAGAGCCAAAUCUCUCAAAUUGUUAUGGUAGAGGUUUAAAACUAACCUAGCAGCCUCCGUUUCCUUCCAUGGUUUCUACUGUCCAAGACCUCCGAUCGAUGGUAGUUGAUCGUUCUUCGGUCCUCCGGCUAGAGCACGACCAAGGAACGACGCCUUCCAGUUUGAAGCCUACAUCGCUAGCUCUCCAUUUGAUCCACCCAUCACAAGGUAUUGCUUAUUUGUGUGAUUUGGAGCCAAGGAGACAACAGUCCAUGAUAGCUCAUGGCUUCAUAUGCAAUUUCAUUCAAAUCUUUAGUCCCUGGCGAGUUUGACCAAGAUCUGAUGGAUUAGUUACUCUCUCUCUUAUCACACGUGCUGAUUUCUCUAUGCUGAGUUUGACCAAGAUCUGAUGGAUUAGUUACUCUCUCUCUCUUAUCACACGUGCUGAUUUAUCUAUGCUGAUUUGUCACAUGCAUAUUUACUUGAACCAUUCUUACUAUUACAGUGGCACAACUGAUCACGUAUAGUUAUCUACCGAUGCAUCUUGGCUCAUGCGAAAGAAAAUUGUUCAUCCACCAGACUGGGUUUAUUACGAGUCCAAUACUGGCGGUGCCGAGUCCAAUACCAACUGCUCUGUUGCUUCUCAUCGCUGGCAUGUGUAUGGCGCCAUGCCAGUAUGCAACAACAAUCCUGGUGCCCGUAUGAAUAACUCUUGAUGUAGGUAUAUGUUGAAUCUCCAGUCUGCACACGAUCUUUCUUGAUUAGGCAUAGCAUGCGUGCAUUGGAGAAAUAUUAAUAUAAUGUAAUAAAAGAAACAUGUGUGUAUAUACUGUUUGCAUCCGAGUUGAGGUGUUUUGGUCAUGUUUUAUUUUGCACGGUGGUCAUCGACCGGUUAUAGGUUGCUCCAGGCCUCGAAGGCCCGGCGGUACUGCUCCUCCACAUGGAGAGCUGAUGGUGCUGCUGCUCCUCGGCACCUUUGAGCGGUCUGUUAAUAGGAGGCAUGAUGCGAGCUGCAAGACUUCACGACACCUUUGAGUGGUCUGCUAAUAGAAGGCAUGAGGCGAGCUGCAAGAUUUCAGGCACAUAAACAGCGCAAUGGCAAGAGCUAUAUAAUAUCACAUUGAUAUUCUGGACCCCGCAGGAGAAUAUAUAUUUAAGUGGUGUACAUGUACUAUGUAUAACUAGAAGAAGAUUACUAUAUUUGUGACUACACUAGAAAUUUAUAGUUGUUGCAGCACGUGGUUAGUUUACAAUAUCACGGUGGUGGUCAUCGACCAGUUAUAGGGUGCUCCAGUGCUCGAAGGCCCGGCAGUACUGCUCCUCGACAGGGAGAGCUGGUGGUGUUGCUGCUCCUCGGCACCUUGGAGCGGUCUACUAAUAUGAGGCGUGAGGCGAGCUGCAAGGCUUCAGGCACACAAACAGCAUAACAGCAAGAGCUAUACAAUAUCACAU
Long non-coding RNA from Triticum aestivum (bread wheat), 1525 nucleotides. RefSeq lists it as uncharacterized. NCBI's taxonomy places the organism in Eukaryota, Viridiplantae, Streptophyta, Magnoliopsida, Poales, Poaceae. The record is from RefSeq and is a predicted model, not a curated record. The transcript is spliced from 3 exons.